GUUUCAGCAGCCGCGGUAAUACAGAGGUCUCAAGCGUUGUUCGGAUUCAUUGGGCGUAAAGGGUGCGUAGGUGGCGGGGUAAGUCAGGUGUGAAAUCUCGAGGCUCAACCUCGAAACUGCACUUGAUACUGCCUUGCUAGAGUACUGGAGAGGAGAUUGGAAUUUACGGUGUAGCAGUGAAAUGCGUAGAUAUCGUAAGGAAGACCAGUGGCGAAGGCGAAUCUCUGGACAGUUACUGACACUGAGGCACGAAGGCCAGGGGAGCAAACGGGAUUAGAAACCCCAGUAGUCC
Molecule: ribosomal RNA, 292 nt
Filed under: uncultured bacterium
Lineage: Bacteria
Description: partial 16S ribosomal RNA
Rfam family: Bacterial small subunit ribosomal RNA
Source: RNAcentral